GAUGAAGAACGCAGCGAAAUGCGAUACUUGGUGUGAAUUGCAGAAUCCCGUGAACCAUCGAGUCUUUGAACGCAAGUUGCGCCCGAAGCCACUAGGCCGAGGGCACGCCUGCCUGGGCGUCACACGUCGUUGCCCCCCACCAUCUACUCCUUCGGGAUUGCGGGGGGCGGAUGAUGGCCUCCCGUGCGCCUAGCCGCGCGGUUGGCAUAAAUACCAAGUCCUCGGCGACGCACGCCACGACAAUCGGUGGUUGCGAAACCUCGGUUGCCCGUCGUGUGCGUUCGUCGCGCAUCGAGGGCUCGAAAAAAUGCGCGGCUCCGGCUCGGCUUUCAACGCGACCCCAGGUCAGGCGGGGUUACCCGCUGAAUUUAAGCAUAUCAAUAAGCGGAGGA
Molecule: unclassified non-coding RNA, 392 nt
Filed under: soil metagenome
Description: partial contains 5.8S ribosomal RNA, internal transcribed spacer 2, and large subunit ribosomal RNA
Rfam family: 5.8S ribosomal RNA (bases 1-122)
Source: RNAcentral